AGUUAACGCUGGCGGCGUGCCUAACACAUGCAAGUCGAACGCGUCCUAAGGGCAACUUUAGGAUGAGUGGCGAACGGGUGAGUAUCACGUGGGUAAUCUUCCUUCAAGUGGGGAAUAAGCUCUCGAAAGGGAGUCUAAUACCGCAUGACAUUCCGGGACACAAGUCCCGUAAUCAAAGCCGCAAGGCGCUUGAAGAUGAGCCUGCGUCCUAUUAGCUAGUUGGUGGGGUAACGGCCUACCAAGGCUUAGAUGGGUAGCCGGCCUGAGAGGGUGAACGGCCACACUGGGACUGAGACACGGCCCAGACUCCUACGGGAGGCAGCAGUGAGGAAUUUUGCGCAAUGGGGGAAACCCUGACGCAGCGACGCCGCGUGGAGGAUGAAGGCCUUCGGGUCGUAAACUCCUGUCAGAGGUGAAGAAUACCCGCAAGGGUUUGACGGUAACCUCAGAGGAAGCCCCGGCUAACUACGUG
Molecule: ribosomal RNA, 472 nt
Filed under: uncultured bacterium
Lineage: Bacteria
Description: bacterial SSU rRNA
Rfam family: Bacterial small subunit ribosomal RNA
Source: RNAcentral